GUGGGGAAUCUUGCGCAAUGGGCGAAAGCCUGACGCAGCCAUGCCGCGUGAAUGAUGAAGGUCUUAGGAUUGUAAAAUUCUUUCACCGGGGACGAUAAUGACGGUACCCGGAGAAGAAGCUCCGGCUAACUUCGUGCCAGCAGCCGCGGUAAUACGAAGGGGGCUAGCGUUGCUCGGAAUUACUGGGCGUAAAGGGCGCGUAGGCGGACAGCUUAGUCAGAGGUGAAAGCCCAGGGCUCAACCUUGGAAUUGCCUUUGAUACUGGCUGUCUUGGGGUUGGGAGAGGUGAGUGGAACUCCGAGUGUAGAGGUGAAAUUCGUAGAUAUUCGGAAGAACACCAGUGGCGAAGGCGACUCACUGGCCCAAUACUGACGCUGAGGCGCGAAAGCGUGGGGAGCAAACAGGAUUAGAAACCCUAGUAGUCC
RNAcentral lists this ribosomal RNA (425 nucleotides) under uncultured bacterium. RNAcentral describes it as "partial 16S ribosomal RNA". It matches the Rfam family "Bacterial small subunit ribosomal RNA", at positions 354 to 796 of the family's 1533-position model. The record is from RNAcentral.